AAACCAACAGGGAUUGCUUUAGUAACGGCGAGUGAAGCGGCAAAAGCUCAAAUUUGAAAUCUGGCACCUUCGGUGUCCGAGUUGUAAUUUGAAGAAGGUAACUUUGGAGUUGGCUCUUGUCUAUGUUCCUUGGAACAGGACGUCACAGAGGGUGAGAAUCCCGUGCGAUGAGAUGCCCAAUUCUAUGUAAAGUGCUUUCGAAGAGUCGAGUUGUUUGGGAAUGCAGCUCUAAGUGGGUGGUAAAUUCCAUCUAAAGCUAAAUAUUGGCGAGAGACCGAUAGCGAACAAGUACAGUGAUGGAAAGAUGAAAAGAACUUUGAAAAGAGAGUGAAAAAGUACGUGAAAUUGUUGAAAGGGAAGGGCUUGAGAUCAGACUUGGUAUUUUGCGAUCCUUUCCUUCUUGGUUGGGUUCCUCGCAGCUUACUGGGCCAGCAUCGGUUUGGAUGGUAGGAUAAUGACUAAGGAAUGUGGCUCUACUUCGGUGGAGUGUUAUAGCCU
RNAcentral lists this ribosomal RNA (498 nucleotides) under Debaryomyces hansenii. RNAcentral's name for it is "eukaryotic LSU rRNA". It matches the Rfam family "Eukaryotic large subunit ribosomal RNA", at positions 62 to 565 of the family's 3401-position model. Lineage: Eukaryota; Fungi; Ascomycota; Pichiomycetes; Serinales; Debaryomycetaceae. The record is from RNAcentral.